AGCUGUGGCCAUAGCUCUUCAUCCCUAAUAUUGUUUAUUGUAACAGAUAUCUUGUCUACAACCUGAAUUGAAAAUUUUAUCUUUGUGGAGAGAGUCCUAAUUAAUGUCCGAGUUGCAUCAACUUUAUGAGCUUCAGCACCCCUCUCAUCCAAACGCUUCAGCUUACGGCACUUCCUCUCAUGAACUACCCGCAUUUUCUCCUCAGCCUUAACUUCAUUAUAGAGUUUCUUCUCCCAAAGAUGCAGCUUAUGCAAGGUAGCAGAAAGGUUUUUCGACCUCAUCUUCAAAUCUUCAUCUAUUUCCAAGUACGCUGGAUCAGUCUUGUCCGUGGAAGAUGAGGC
This 341-nucleotide unclassified non-coding RNA is filed under the name Hevea brasiliensis (rubber tree). Lineage: Eukaryota; Viridiplantae; Streptophyta; Magnoliopsida; Malpighiales; Euphorbiaceae. The record is from RNAcentral.